Molecule: ribosomal RNA, 399 nt
Filed under: uncultured eukaryote
Lineage: Eukaryota
Description: partial 18S ribosomal RNA
Rfam family: Eukaryotic small subunit ribosomal RNA
Source: RNAcentral
CAAUAGCGUAUAUUAACGUUGUUGCAGUUAAAAAGCUCGUAGUUGGAUUUCUGACCUCGAGUGCGUGCUCACGUCGACUGAAAUUGGUCGGCGGUGGAGUUUUACGCACCGGUCACCUUGUAAGCGCGUGGCGCUGCACUUAAUUGUGUCGGUGUCAAUGCUCUUACUCGUUUACUUUGAACAAAUUAGAGUGUUUAAAGCAGGCUGUUUAAUGCCGUGAAUAGACUAGCAUGGAAUAAUAAGAUAGGGCUUCGGUUCUAUUUUGUUGGUUUUAAGAACUGAAGUAAUGAUUGAUAGGGAUAGUUGGGGGUGCUCGUAUUCAGCGGCCAGAGGUGAAAUUCGUAGAUUCGCUGAAGACGAACUUAUGCGAAAGCAUUCACCAAGGAUAUUUUCUUUAAC